Molecule: ribosomal RNA, 393 nt
Filed under: uncultured bacterium
Lineage: Bacteria
Description: bacterial SSU rRNA
Rfam family: Bacterial small subunit ribosomal RNA
Source: RNAcentral
AGCGAACGCUGGCGGCGUGCUUAACACAUGCAAGUCGAGCGAAGGUGUUUCAAGGGUAACCUUGAGAUACACUUAGCGGCGGACGGGUGAGUAAUACGUGGAUAACUUACCUCUAGGCCUGGGAUAACCCCGGGAAACUGGGGCUAAUACCUGAUAAGACCACAUUGUCUACGGACAAAGGGGUAAAAGGUGGCUGUGCAAACAGCUAUCGCCAAAAGAUAGGUUCACGUCCCAUCAGGCAGUGGUGAGGUAAUGGCUCACCAAACCAAAGACGGGUAGCCGGCCUUGGCGGGUGAACGGCCACACGGGGACUGAGACACGGCCCCGACUCCUACGGGAGGCAGCAGUGGGGAAUAUUGGGCAAUGGGCGCAAGCCUGACCCAGCGACGUCGC